UUAGAGUUUGAUUCUGGCUCAGGAUGAACGCUAGCGACAGGCCUAACACAUGCAAGUCGAGGGGCAGCACCUCGGGUGGCGAGCGGCGCACGGGUGAGUAACGCGUAUGUAACCUGCCCUCAAGUGGGGAAUAGCCCAGUGAAAACUGGAUUAAUACCGCAUAACACCGAAUGAUGACAUCUGAAUUCGGUUAAAGAUUUAUUGCUUGAGGAUGGACAUGCGUCUGAUUAGCUAGUUGGCGGGGCAACGGCCCACCAAGGCGACGAUCAGUAGGGGUUCUGAGAGGAAGGUCCCCCACAUUGGAACUGAGACACGGUCCAAACUCCUACGGGAGGCAGCAGUGAGGAAUAUUGGUCAAUGGGCGAGAGCCUGAACCAGCCAAGUCGCGUGAAGGAUGAAGGUUCUAUGGAUUGUAAACUUCUUUUGUCUGAGGGUAAAGUGAGGUACGUGUACCUUAUUGCAAGUAUCAGACGAAUAAGCAUCGGCUAACUCCGUGCCAGCAGCCGCGGUAAUACGGAGGAUGCGAGCGUUAUCCGGAUUUAUUGGGUUUAAAGGGUGCGUAGGCGGAAGAUUAAGUCUGUGGUGAAAGCGUGCGGCUCAACCGUACCAAGCCAUGGAAACUGGUUUUCUUGAGUGUAAACGAGGUAGGCGGAAUAAUGACGUGUAGCGGUGAAAUGCUUAGAUAGGUCAUAGAACCCCGGAUUGCGAAGGCAGCUUACCAGCAUACAACUGACGCGGAGGCACGAAAGCGUGGGGUAUCAAACAGGAUUAGAUACCCUGGUAGUCCACGCAGUAAACGAUGAAUACUAGCUGUUGGCGAUAUACAGUCAGCGGUAAAGCGAAAGUGUUAAGUAUUCCACCUGGGGAGUACGCCGGCAACGGUGAAACUCAAAGGAAUUGACGGGGGCCCGCACAAGCGGAGGAACAUGUGGUUUAAUUCGAUGAUACGCGAGGAACCUUACCCGGGCUUGAAAGUUAGUGACGGCAGCUGAAAGGCUGCUUCCCCUCGGGGCACGAAACUAGGUGCUGCAUGGUUGUCGUCAGCUCGUGCCGUGAGGUGUCGGCUUAAGUGCCUUAACGAGCGCAACCCCUGUUGUUAGUUGCCAUCAGGUAAUGCUGGGAACUCUAACAAGACUGCUACUGUAAGGUAGAGGAGGGUGGGGAUGACGUCAAACCAGCACGGCCCUUACGUCCGGGGCGACACACGUGUUACAAUGGGGGGUACAGAGGGUUGCUACCACGCGAGUGGAUGCUAAUCUCAUAAAACCUCUCUCAGUUCGGAUCGGAGUCUGCAACUCGACUCCGUGAAGCUGGAUUCGCUAGUAAUCGCGCAUCAGCCAUGGCGCGGUGAAUACGUUCCCGGGCCUUGUACUCACCGCCCGUCA
This 1385-nucleotide ribosomal RNA is filed under the name uncultured bacterium. RNAcentral's name for it is "16S ribosomal RNA". It matches the Rfam family "Bacterial small subunit ribosomal RNA". The record is from RNAcentral.